Molecule: ribosomal RNA, 433 nt
Filed under: uncultured bacterium
Lineage: Bacteria
Description: partial 16S ribosomal RNA
Rfam family: Bacterial small subunit ribosomal RNA
Source: RNAcentral
AACGAACGCUGGCGGCAUGCCUAACACAUGCAAGUCGAACGAGACCUUCGGGUCUAGUGGCGCACGGGUGCGUAACGCGUGGGAACCUGCCCUUAGGUUCGGAAUAACUCCCCGAAAGGGGUGCUAAUACCGGAUAAUGUCUUCGGACCAAAGAUUUAUCGCCCUUGGAUGGGCCCGCGUUGGAUUAGCUAGUUGGUAGGGUAAAAGCCUACCAAGGCGACGAUCCAUAGCUGGGCUGAGAGGAUGAUCAGCCACACUGGGACUGAGACGCGGCCCAGACUCCUACGGGAGGCAGCAGUGGGGAAUAGUGGACAAUGGGCGGAAGGCUGAAGCAGCAAUGCCGCGUGAGUGAUGAAGGCCUUAGGGUUGUAAAGCUCUUUUACCCGGGAUGAUAAUGACAGUACCGGGAGAAUAAGCUCCGGCUAACUCCGUG